GACGAACGCUGGCGGCGUGCUUAACACAUGCAAGUCGAACGAUGAAGAAGAGAAACGCGAACUUCGGUUCAAAUUUCACUUCGGAUUAGUGGCAGACGGGUGAGUAACGCGUGAGCAACCUACCUCUUACAAAGGGAUAGCCUCGGGAAACCGUGAUUAAUACCAUAUGACACAUUCAUAAGGCAUCUUAAGAUUGUUAAAGCUACGGCGGUAAGAGAUGGGCUCGCGUCCCAUUAGCUAGUUGGUGAGGUAACGGCCCACCAAGGCGACGAUGGGUAACCGGGCUGAGAGGGUGAACAGUCACAUUGGAACUGAGACACGGUCCAGACUCCUACGGGAGGCAGCAGUGGGGAAUAUUGCACAAUGGAGGGAAGUCUGAUGCAGCGACGCCGCGUGAGCGAUGAAGGAAUUCGUUUCGUAAAGCUCUGUUCUAUGGGAAGAAAAGGACUGUACCAUAGGAGAAAGCCCCGGCUAAAUACGUG
RNAcentral lists this ribosomal RNA (482 nucleotides) under uncultured bacterium. RNAcentral describes it as "partial 16S ribosomal RNA". It matches the Rfam family "Bacterial small subunit ribosomal RNA", at positions 28 to 507 of the family's 1533-position model. The record is from RNAcentral.